GAUGAAGAACGCAGCGAAAUGCGAUAGGUAAUGUGAAUUGCAGAAUUCAGUGAAUCAUCGAAUCUUUGAACGCACAUUGCGCCCUUUGGUAUUCCUUAGGGCAUGCCUGUUCGAGCGUCACUACACACCUUAUCACAAUAUUUGUGGUCUUGGCAGGAGUGAAUUGCUGGUCUAUGGAAGUAUUCCAGCAGUACACAAUGCUAAAAAAUAUGGGAAGGUUACCAGAUAUGAACAACAGACUUUGUAAUUGGUUGUAGGACCUAGAUCAGUCACAAGUCAUGUCUGGUCCCUUACCUUAAGGACCCCCAUCCUAGAUGAACUAUGGGUUGACCUUGGAUCAGGUAGGAAUACCCGCUGAACUUAAGCAUAUCAAUAAGCGGAGGA
Molecule: unclassified non-coding RNA, 384 nt
Filed under: soil metagenome
Description: partial contains 5.8S ribosomal RNA, internal transcribed spacer 2, and large subunit ribosomal RNA
Rfam family: 5.8S ribosomal RNA (bases 1-120)
Source: RNAcentral